CAGAUGAUGGUGUGCAAUAUCAAAGCCAAAUGAGAUGGCUGCCAAUUAGGGAGGGCUUCCAAGUGCAUUUCAAUGCAAACGCGCACUGCUUUUGCAGCUGGGCUGCCCUGCCUCACUUGGAUGCAUCAACAAAGCUUGAAGUGGCCACUCUAAUCUGGAAACUCUGUUUGGGCCAUGCAUACAGGAACUGCUGACACGGAAAGAUUUAGCUAUGAUUGCAUAUCAUUACAUGAAUAAAAU
Maylandia zebra (zebra mbuna) is the source of this 240-nucleotide long non-coding RNA. RefSeq lists it as uncharacterized. The record is from RefSeq and is a predicted model, not a curated record. Lineage: Eukaryota; Metazoa; Chordata; Actinopteri; Cichliformes; Cichlidae.